ACUGCGUAUGCUGAAGGAGAACUGACGUUCAUGACCAAGUUGCUUUCAAGGGCAGUUCAAAGUGUUGGCUGACAAGGCUGUGCUUGGCUGAUACUUUCCUUUUGGAGUAUAUUCUGUCAUUGCUGGCAUGGUGCAUUCACCAUAUGACCUGUCAUUCUCCAGACAACCUCCAAGGGAGGUAUUACCAUCACCAUGUUACAGAUGAAGAAACUGAAGCUAACAAAGUUGAGAAAACAUAAACAUAGAAGAAGAGAAUCUGCUCACUUUUAACUCCUUCCUACACAGGAAAAAGAUCCCAUUCACUAAUGCUUUAACAAUUGCAAGACCCACCCACAAGCCUGACGUCUUUUCUCUCAAAUCUCCUCUUCCAGCUUGGAAGAGGAUCCUGAGCCUCAGAUGGGAAUGUAUUCCUGACCAACACCUGAAUCGCAGCCUUGUGAGAUCCUGAACAGAGGACCCAGUUAAGCCAGGCUCAGACUCCUGACCCCCUGGAAACUGUGGGGUAAGAUGCUACUUUUUGUGGUAACUGACUCCUGAGAUUAAAAGGACAGGAAAACAAAGAAAAAUUAAGAGAAAUAUAGAAGAAGGCAUAUGAAGGACCAGGAUGCAGGAUGAGAAGACCAACAUCUCCAAUAAUUUUCCAGAAAAAGCUGGGGACUCUGAAGCCAGUCACUUCCUUCCGUGGCUCUCAUCUUACUCAACCUCAUACAUCAAC
This is a long non-coding RNA of Balaenoptera ricei (Rice's whale), 715 nucleotides long. RefSeq lists it as uncharacterized. NCBI's taxonomy places the organism in Eukaryota, Metazoa, Chordata, Mammalia, Artiodactyla, Balaenopteridae. The transcript is spliced from 7 exons. The record is from RefSeq and is a predicted model, not a curated record.